Long non-coding RNA from Beta vulgaris subsp. vulgaris (sugar beet), 474 nucleotides. RefSeq lists it as uncharacterized. The transcript is spliced from 3 exons. The record is from RefSeq and is a predicted model, not a curated record. NCBI's taxonomy places the organism in Eukaryota, Viridiplantae, Streptophyta, Magnoliopsida, Caryophyllales, Amaranthaceae.
UUGUUCCUGGCACAAUAGAUGAAAGAGCAAUAAACACCAAAAGGUACUUAAUCCAUGGGAGAGAAAUGAGAAUCAUACUCUGUGUCUUAACUCUGCGAAAGCCAUUGCAUGCACUGUGGUUAACAUUGGACCCCAUGACUUGGUUGAAGGCAGGCCACAUUUGGUGCUUGGCUUAAUAUCUCAAAUUAUCAAGGUACAUGUUUUUCCAUCAUACCUAGGAUUGAAGGAUUUGAGAGAAAUAGUCAUGGUCGCUAGAGUGAUCGUCUAGAGGGAUGAUGUUGAGAUUGUCACUGUAAAGGACCCUCUCAUCACCAUUGAAGUAUUCGUUUGAAGGAGGGCGGAGAAAGGAGAGGAACAAUACAAUGAUUGCAGAGUUCUACACAUCUCUUUUUUUCCUAUGUAGAUCUAUGAGAAAAUAUUAGCUGUGGUUCUAUUCUUUUAGUAUUGUUUUUGGUAAUGUAAGCGUCAAAUGGC